GUGAGAGAGAGACAGGUGAGAGAGAGACAGGUGAGACAGAGACAGGUGAGAGAGAGACAGGUGAGAGACAGACAGGUGAAAGAGAGACCGGUGAGAGACAGACAGGUGAGACAGACAGGUGAGAGAGAGACAGGUGAGACAGACAGGUGAGACACAGACAGGUGAGAGAGACAGGUGAGAGAGACAGGUGAGAGACAGGUGGGAG
Molecule: long non-coding RNA, 205 nt
Organism: Scomber scombrus (Atlantic mackerel)
Lineage: Eukaryota; Metazoa; Chordata; Actinopteri; Scombriformes; Scombridae
Exons: 3
Source: RefSeq, a predicted model, not a curated record